This 192-nucleotide non-coding RNA is filed under the name Paramoeba aestuarina. The record is from RNAcentral. Lineage: Eukaryota; Discosea; Flabellinia; Dactylopodida; Paramoebidae.
UUCGAAAAGAAACACAAACAGAGAAAGGAGAACAAGAAAAAGAAAAAGGGGAAAAGAAGAAAAGGAAAGGAGAAAAACAAGACGCUGUGGGUGUCUUUCGCUCUUUUUUCUCUUCUUUUUCUCUUUAUUUUCAUUCUCGGGUGUUAAAACUGCGCUUUUUCUUCUCUUCUCUCUCCUUCUCUCUAAAAUGGG